RNAcentral lists this ribosomal RNA (253 nucleotides) under uncultured bacterium. RNAcentral describes it as "partial 16S ribosomal RNA". It matches the Rfam family "Bacterial small subunit ribosomal RNA", at positions 524 to 776 of the family's 1533-position model. The record is from RNAcentral.
UACGGAGGAGGCAAGCGUUAUCCGGAAUUAUUGGGCGUAAAGCGUCCGUAGGUGGCUAGUCAAGUCUGCGGUCAAAGACUGGGGCUUAACCCUGGACAGGCGGUGGAAACUACCAAGCUGGAGUACGGUAGGAGCAGGGGGAAUUUCCGGUGGAGCGGUGAAAUGCGUAGAGAUCGGAAAGAACACCAACGGCGAAAGCACUCUGCUGGGCCGACACUGACACUGAGAGACGAAAGCUAGGGGAGCGAAUGGG